This 1260-nucleotide ribosomal RNA is filed under the name metagenome. Its description in RNAcentral is "bacterial SSU rRNA". It matches the Rfam family "Bacterial small subunit ribosomal RNA", at positions 8 to 1268 of the family's 1533-position model. The record is from RNAcentral.
AGAGUUUGAUUCUGGCUCAGGAUGAACGCUAGCGGCAGGCCUAAUACAUGCAAGUCGAGGGGCAGCAGGGGUAGCAAUACUCGCUGGCGACCGGCGCACGGGUGCGUAACACGUAUGCAACUUUCCUUCAACUGGAAGAUAGCCCGAAGAAAUUCGGAUUAAUAUUCCAUAGUUAUAUGAAAUGGCAUCAUUUUAUAUUUAAAGCUCAGGCGGUUGAAGAUGGGCAUGCGUUCGAUUAGCUAGUUGGUGAGGUAAUGGCUCACCAAGCUACGAUCGAUAGGGGAUCUGAGAGGAUUAACCCCCACACUGGUACUGAGACACGGACCAGACUCCUACGGGAGGCAGCAGUAAGGAAUAUUGGACAAUGGAGGCAACUCUGAUCCAGCCAUGCCGCGUGAAGGAUGAAGGUCCUAUGGAUUGUAAACUUCUUUUGAACGGGAGAAAACCUUCGGUCGUGUACCGAAGCUGAUAGUACCGUUAGAGUAAGGGUCGGCUAACUUCGUGCCAGCAGCCGCGGUAAUACGAAGGACCCGAGCGUUAUCCGGAUUUAUUGGGUUUAAAGGGUGCGUAGGCGGAAUGGUAAGUCAGUGGUGAAAUCUUGUGGCUUAACUGCAAAACUGCCAUUGAUACUGCCAAUCUUGAGUACAUUUGAUGAGGGCGGAAUGUGCCAUGUAGUGGUGAAAUACUUAGAUAUGGCACAGAACACCGAUCGCGAAGGCAGCUCACAAAACUGUUACUGACGCUGAGGCACGAAAGCGUGGGGAUCAAACAGGAUUAGAUACCCUGGUAGUCCACGCCUUAAACUAUGAUUACUCGAUGUGUGCGGUACACAGUACGCGUCUAAGCGAAAGCGUUAAGUAAUCCACCUGGGGAGUACGGUCGCAAGAUUGAAACUCAAAGAAAUUGACGGGGGCCCGCACAAGCGGAGGAGCAUGUGAUUUAAUUCGAUGAUACGCGAGGAACCUUACCUGGGCUUGAAAGUUAGUGAAUGCUGUGGAAACAUGGCAGGCCGCAAGGACACGAAACUAGGUGCUGCAUGGCUGUCGUCAGCUCGUGCCGUGAGGUGUUGGGUUAGGUCCCGCAACGAGCGCAACCCCUAUCUUUAGUUGCCAGCGAGUAAUGUCGGGGACUCUAAAGAAACUGCCCGUGCCAACGGUGAGGAAGGUGGGGAUGACGUCAAGUCAGCACGGCCCUUACGUCCAGGGCUACACACGUGCUACAAUGGCGAGUACAAAGGGCAGCUACAUGGUGACAUGAUGC